Paramuricea clavata is the source of this 12057-nucleotide non-coding RNA. NCBI's taxonomy places the organism in Eukaryota, Metazoa, Cnidaria, Anthozoa, Malacalcyonacea, Plexauridae. The record is from the annotation of a GenBank genome assembly.
CGGAAAAUGUGUUGGAAACCAAAUUUAUUUUGUUUGAGAAAAUAAAGAAAAACAAACGGUUUUAGCGAGCGAGCUGUAUAUUUAGUAAUGCAGCUAAGAAGACGCCAGAUGAACGCCCAGCAAAUAAGUUUACAAAAAGACGCAGAUGAAUUAGUAAAUUUAUAAAGUCAAUGCCAGCUCGUAUAAAGCGUUCAUUGCUAAUAUUAAGCCGUUGUUUGCGAUAACUUGUUUAAAGAAGAGUAACAAAAGUCGAGCAGCUUUGGGCAGAUGCUUUCCAAGAAAUAAAGUAAAUAAAGGUAAGAUUUAUCUUAUGAUAAAAUCAGAUUAUGAAAGAUAUUGUUAGCGGGGGUUAACAUGCGUCAUUAUUCCGUGCAAAUCAGAAUUUCACGUCGAUCGCCCUGCUUCUAUACGUAGCUUUAAAUACGCCUCGUUUGUGAUAGAAUCUCCAAGAUCCAUAUAGCUUACAGCAGUAUCCAACGUUUUGAGAAAAAUCAAGAUGAAAUAGCUAACGUGAACCUGAGUUCAAAAUAUGACCUUUAUUUUAUAAUUACUCCCUAUUUAGUUACUUUCUGUUGUUGCCAAAUCGUUAUCCUUCAUAGUUUCCUCUUGUAAUAAAAUACAAACACGUCAAUGAUUUUCUUCAUAUAUUAAGGUGUUCGGAACCUCGAAUAUUUCGGGCAGAGGCCUUUUUAUACUCCUUUCGUAUACAAGAGUAGUUAAGUUGAUUAUAACUUGAUAUGAGGGUUUGUCUUGAUAGCAAAGAUAAUCGAUUUACAUUGUGUUAAGAGCCGGACGUGGAACACAAACUGAUCAAAGAUCUUUUUCAAUGGCGUUAAUUAAGACAAAAUUAAUCAUAAAGAAUGAUAUAAAUCUAAAAUAUAUUGGAAAUUUUGUCUGAAAACAGAAUAUGAAUGCCAUUUCCCAACAGUUCAUCAACGUAAACUUACUUUGCCACUUCAACGGCGUCUAUCACUUGAUUAUUUAUUGACUUACACUUAGGAACUGUUUACAUGAUCCAGCUUUGGUGAAAUGAGAGCCAGAUCAUUUUGAAAUAUUAGUAACGAUUGAAUAACAUCUUGAAUGAAUUCCUCAUGAGUCCCUAUUUUUUUAAAGAUAGCUUCGCCAGGCAAUUGUGUUAUUAAUCUAAUGUAUAUGUUUAGACUAGUAUUGAUCUAUAACGUGUAUAAGACCUACGCAAAAAACAGAUUGUAGUUCUGUAUAUUACUUUAAAAAUUUGGAACCACGCUGGUAUGAGAUAUAUUUAUCACAUUUGAAAUGAUUCCUAAUUGAUUUCAAGAUGAACAACUCAGCAAGUUAUCGGCUUUGCUAAAUCGUAAACUAUAAGUUCUAUACAUAUAACAUACUUUGUUUUAAGUUUAUAUUAUGCUUUAUCUUUAAUCUUCUUCAUCUGUGAAGAAUUAAGGUAAUUUGAACGUAAGCUUCCCUAGGAUAGUCUAGACUACUGUCGUCAAAUCUGUGCAGGUUAAACCUUAAACGAGUUUUAAAGGCUGCGAAUCAAUGCUGUUCUCUCAACGUUACACGAGGUCAAACAGUUCCGGAGAUUACGGUCUUGAGAGGAACAGCUAACUAAAUUGUUUUGUCGAAUAUUUGAAAUAGUAAACGUUCCACGCUCGUGAUCUUGUGUUUUCGUUUUAACUGCAUGUCUUUGAUAUACUGCAUGCCUUGGGAUAAGAAUAUCGGAAAGGAGUUGUCUGAGUAGUGAAUGAUCCGAGUAAGUUGGUCAAAUGAUCCAUUUUCACUCAAUGUUACAUUUCAGAGAGAGAGGGUUCUGGUAUUCCUUGAUGAAUGAGUAGGAACCGUCAAACAUAUAGCAGUGUUCUAAGACUACGAUCUGAUGAGCCCCACAUUUUAAAGAACAAGCCAUUUUUGUCUCGAAAAGGCAAACAGACGCGCGUUAGACGAAUAACGUUAAGCCACGUCAAAGUACAGAUGUAAGGCAGUAAGCAGUUGGCAAAUUAUGCUAAUUAUGUAAUUUACAAUCGUUGGGGAUGCGAUUUUAUUAGUAAGGUUAAAAUAUUUUGCAGUAAAAUAUCUAAGAAAUCACAACCAUGAUUUUGUUACGAAGCAAAAUUGAGCUAACAAGCAACGUAUUAUAAAACUUAUCAACACGAAAAAUAAUUUUAUGAUCGAUUUUAUGAAAAUUGAAUCCGGAUAUUUGGCAGUUUAAGUAUUUAAAACAAAUGUUUUCUCAGAGCUGUACUUUCAUGUUCAAUGCAUGCAUGGAUAGAUGUAAAAAGAUAUUGAAGAAUGAUAAAUCGUUAUAUUUGUGCGUUGGAAAUAGAUGACGUGUAAAAAUAGCAAGGCUUUGUACUAAUUAGCAAGCGUCGUAAUUGAAGGCGUUACGUUAUUAAUGCGUUAUAGCUAAUUUCCUCGCAUUAUUACUUAGGCUAAUUAUUAUGCGUGAUUUUAAAGUAAAUACAGUAUAAAUCCUGGCCAGCACCUGCCCUCGACAAUGUAUAAAGACGAGUAAUGCUGCACACUUGUUCUUUUAACGAAGCCUUCACAGGACUAUGACCAGAUAGAACUCAAAUGCAAAAAGAAAUAUCUGAAAAGAACAGAUUGAGCAGAAAAGGAACCCAAAAUCUAACUGUGUGGAAUUAAGAAAGAAUAGAAAUAUAUCAGUACAAAACUGUAAGUAAAAGUAAAGUAACAUUUCUCGUUUUAGAGAGAAUGUGCUCGUAUCCAACUUUUCUUUCAAAAGAGAAGGAAACAACUAAUUUCUGUUUCACAAAUUUCCUUGUUUGCUAGUGUCUACAGUAACUCGUUUUCUUUGCGCGUAUAUUAAUGAGGUCCAAGACGAAUUUUCAAAUCAAACCUAUAGCUUUUUGUCACUUUUUGUUUUGAAAUGUUUGCACACACAAAUGCAUUACUGGUGAAAAUAUUACAAACAGUCAUUGCUCAUCUUACUAAAAAUUUAAAACCUUCAAGAUUUCAUGUUAAUUAAGUCUGUAGUUAUUGAUUCAAAUAAACCUCGAGAUUUUUUCUUUCGUUUCUUCAGUAUUAUAUAUAUCUUAAAUGUCCGUACAUUGAACCUCAACACUUGUCAAGCAGGAAUAUUCGUGAUUAUAUUUAAGACCAGAUUAUCUUUGGUGAAAUAUUUAAUUAUGAAUUAAAAGUAGCUAGUUGAGCGUAGAUUUUUCAACAGUGGUUUUGCCUGCUGAGAGAAGAUUAAUGAUGGGUUGACAACGGACAUGCACACGUGAUUGUGUUGUGGUAACAUGCACAUGUAACUUUAAUCCCAACGGCAUGAGGUUGUUAUAUUUAACAAUUUCUUUAGUGUUUGGGUUAUUUGCGUCUUACAGUAGCUAUCUCACUGUUUUACAUAAUAUGGGGGCGGCGCGCUUGACGCGUAGGCUGUGAACGACACAAAAGAACAUAGUCUGAAAUUUGGCAGCUGCCUCAAAAUACAGUUUCAUUGCCAAAAUGUUAUUGAUUAGAUCUAUUUAUGAUAUUGCUAACUUACUGCGGGCUAUUCUAGUUGACCAUUAUAUAUGAAAACAUGAUAAAUAUAAUUACAACACGUCAAAAACUGUACCAUUAACGAUAGUUUUGGAGUCAGCUAGCCAACCUGCAGAGUCGUGUCCAGACCUCCUAAUUUCGCGCCACCCCGUUUGAUUUUGUAAAAGAGGAAUAUCUGCCAACGAAGAAUAUCUUCAAAUCUUGUUUAACGGAACUGUCUCUGUGUGUCAUUAAAUCAGACAACCGCAGCCUUAGGAAAUAAUUAUAUUAAUGAUUCAAAACGUUGUUGAAAAGUUUUUAUGUUGUACAUGUUUUAAACGUGAAGUUCAAUGCAGUUAUAUACUCUGAAACGUUGUAAUUAACAAAAUAUGUUUGACCUAAAUUAAACCUGCAAACAAUAGGCAGUAAUACCGGCGCAGGGGGGAUCACAUGUAGGAAGUUGAGAAUCCCAACAAGAAAUAUAAUCAGGAAAGUUCUUUACAUUUAUUAGUCUUAACCAGGAGCAGUUUGGAAAAAUACAACUAUAGUGCCUCUGCCAGGAAUCAAACCUGCAGCUCUGCGAUUCCGGUGCAGCGCUCUAACCAACUGAACUACAGAGAGACAGUUGUCGAGCUCUAACCAACUGAACUACAGAGAGACAGUUGUCAAGCUCUAACCAACUGAACUACAGAGAAACAGUUGUCAAGCUCUAACCAACUGAACUACAGAGAGAGAGUUGUCUAGCUCUAACCAACUGAACUACAGAGAGAGAGUUGUCGAGCUCUAACCAACUGAACUACAGAGAGACAGUUGUCGAGCUCUAACCAACUGAACUACAGAGAGAGAGUUGUCGAGCUCUAACCAACUGAACUACAGAGAGAGAGUUGUCGAGCUCUAACCAACUGAACUACAGAGAGACAGUUGUCGAGCUCUAACCAACUGAACUACAGAGAGAGAGUUGUCGAGCUCUAACCAACUGAGCUACAGAGAGACAGUUGUCGAGCUCUAACCAACUGAGCUACAGAGAGACAGUUGUCGAACUCUAACCAACUGAGCUACAGAGAGACAGUUGUCGAGCUCUAACCAACUGAGUUACAGAGAGACAGUUGUCGAGCUCUAACCAACUGAGCUACAGAGAGACAGUUGUCGAGCUCUAACCAACUGAGCUACAGAGAGACAGUUGUCGAGCUCUAACCAACUGAGCUACAGGGAGACAGCUGUCGAGCUCUAACCAACUGAGCUACAGAGAGACAGUUGUCGAGCUCUAACCAACUGAGCUACAGAGAGACAGUUGUCGAGCUCUAACCAACUGAGCUACAGAGAGACAGUUGUCGAGCUCUAACCAACUGAGCUACAGAGAGACAGUUGUCAAGCUCUAACCAACUGAGCUACAGAGAGAUAGUUGUCAAGCUCUAACCAACUGAGCUACAGAGAGACAGUUGUCGAGCUCUAACCAACUGAGCUACAGAGAGACAGUUGUCGAGCUCUAACCAACUGAGCUACAGAGAGACAGUUGUCGAGCUCUAACCAACUGAGCUACAGAGAGAGAGUUGUCUAGCUCUAACCAACUGAGCUACAGAGAGAGAGUUGUUGGCCAUCUUAGUUGAUAGAACUAGCAUUUAGUUAUAUCCAUGCUCAAAAUCCUGAAUAUGUUUGUGGAGUGUAAACCACCCCAAUGAUGAAUUAAAUUGAUCAGACAGUAAGUUUCAUUUGACCACAAAUGCUCAACACAGGUAAAACAGGUCACCGAGUUUUUCUUAAUUAAAUUGAUACGAAGAACAACAGUUUUGAUCAUAAUAAAAUAUUAUAAUAAAAUUGAGUAAUAAAAGCGAAGUAAUAUAUGGUUAUGAAAUGCAACAGUUAGAAUGGAUCAGUAAUAAAACAAGGCGACGCACAAAUCAUGAACAAUAAUAGCAAUGGAAAAUAAGAUUAAAUUAGCUUUAAUAAAAUUUCAUUCGCUGUUUUUUUAUUAAUAUUUUAUUGCUUAGUACGACAGGUGCAUGGAACUGUGGGCAGACAUACACUCAGACGUCAAAUGCAUGGGAGACCAAAGUUAUAAAGCAAUUUUUUGUGUGCAAAUCCUAAUACCAUUUUCUUUCAGACUAUUAGAAUAUAGUGGCAAUAAUAGGGAAGCUGGGGGAUUGAUAGGGAUACAAGUAUCUGAAAAAUACAAAGAAAUCUUCGACGUUUCGAGCAAGGCGCUUCUCCUUGAAUCUUUCAGACUAUGUCCAUAUAUAGAAAUAUCUUUCAUAACGAUAUAUAUAAUUGAUAGAAAUCUAACAAGUUCUUUGUAGAUCUAUUUUUUGGCCCAGGCGUAGAUGCAGGUGGAAAGCUUUGCAGUUUCCAGACAAUAAAUCAAUAUAGCGUUCCAUAGUUUUACUAAUAUGGUAUUCUAGCUCUUCGAAAAAAACCCGCGUAUAAUUGUCCAUGGCCCAUGGCCAUGGGAAAUUAAUGCUCUCUUAUAAAUUGGCUGGGAAUACAGCAAUAUAUAGGACGUGACGCAAUUAUCAUGCACCAACCAAGCUGCCAAACCAACCAACCGAUCAAAAUAUUGAAAACGUUGAAGCUUCUUCAGAUGAUAGGGAAAUCUAGAACUAACUUUAUGUAGAGUUCCGUAUCUUAUGCAGUGCAAACGACUUUCAUGCAGAAAUGAAAAUAUGCAUGCUGUUCCCUACAAACACAUUGUACUUUCGCUUAUUCUCAGUACAAGGAAAAGUGGAAAACGUAUGCAUUAUACUUUAUCUCCCAAUUAUUUCUCGAUCAAAUUAAGAAAAUCUAAAACAUUUAUUCCUUAUCUGCAAAACAUUCGUACACGGAAUAACACACAUGCCAUUUUUUUAAAAAAUUGAUUCGCAUCGAGAAAAUUAGGAUCUGUACUUGAAGGUAAACCACAGACAACGCACUCAACUGUCACCUUCAAGAAUAUCUCUACAAAUAUUGCCUCUAAAUGGCACAACAUUCUGGAAUUAUAUAAUCUUUACAUGUAAGGUGAUGUAAACUUUUAAAGGUGUUGCAAUGUUAGAAAUUGCUCUUAUCAGAAACAAAAUCAUCAUUGCAACUGCAAGGUGAGAACUUAUCUGCACGAGGUUGGAAUAAGACAAUUAAAAACUCACUAUAUAGGUGUGUAGGCGUUUGGGCUAUAGGAAUAUGAAAACUCAUGUGCCAUUUCGCUCGGACAUACUUUGUGAAAAUUCCCAAUAUUGAGGGAAUUUCUCCUAUUUAUUUUUAUAAUAAGCUAAUAUUACCCAACUGUGAAGCACAUAUUGCCCGACUGGCCUAGUCUGCCCAACAAUCUGAGGGGGGCUCCCCCCCCCCCGGCCCCGUACGCCUAUGCUUCGCUUGAAACGUCGAAGUUCUCCUUGUAUUUUUGAGGUAGUUGUAUUCCUACCAAUCCGAAGCUUUCUUCUUAUUGCCACGACCUACGGCAGACGAGAACGUAUCAUGGUUUUACUCGGGAAAACGUUUGCCAUGAACAAGAUAUAAAUUAAGCCCAAAAAGUUGUACAACAAUGCCGCAUAUUACAUGCCCUAUGUUGCAUAAAUACUACCGACAUAUCUAAAUCUUGAUGAGCUGGGGAUUUCUACAAGUUUUAAUUAAGUGAAAUUAAAACCACAUUUAACUUUUCAUAAUCCGAAUAGGAAUUGAUUUUGAAACAGUUAUCUUUUAGAACAAUAUAUAUUACCAUACAUAGAACCAUAUGAAGGCCGCGAGUUUAGGCGAGGCCGCAAGUUUAUCAGUUUUACUGUUGCCCUCUUUAAAUAUAGGAGAUUAUUAUUCUGAUUUUCCACUCAAAAGGCAAACAAGACAUCUGUCUAUCUCAGAGCGAUCAAACACUGCAAAGAAUACUGACUAUGCUGCGAAUGUUGAAUGUUAGAGAAAGUUUUAUGAUCCGGAAACCGGCAGCUUUAAUCAGAGAAAAACGCAACAUCACUUUUUAAUUAAUGAAUUACAAUAAACAAGGGAAGAAAUAGGCAAGGUUUUGUAAAAACUUAGCAUUGCAAGACUGGGUUUUGAAUAAUUUCCUCCAUUCAAAUUGCCACUAGACUGUCAGAGACGUUUAGCUUACUCGAUAUCUUCGGUCCAUGAUAGAAAACGAAAAAAAUAAAUGAACUCCAAGAAAUGUUAUUGACAAAGGAAGAAAUUAGGACCUUAUGUCUUCAAUAAAACACAAAAACAAAAUAUCUUUAAGUUAAGAUAAACAAGUAGUUUUCAAAUUAAAACGAUUAUCGACCACCAAGGAUGUUUAUACUGUGUUUUCAUUGGCAUAAUAAACAGAGGAUGACAAUCCUCCCUGAUGUAGAUAGAGAAAGAUAGAAUAUCUCAAUUAAAGGCAUAGUGACCGACUAAUUUCUUUAUAAAAGAACAUCAUUAGAACAAAGUUGUGUAUUGGGCUACAAUCCUCGCAGGAAGUUAGGUGUAGGUCGAAAGCAUAGAGAACAUGCCAUGUCUGGAGAUAUGUCAUAAGAAAAAAAUAUUUUCCAUAUACAGCAAUGUGUAUUGUUGGAGAAUGUCCUCUGGUGUCUACGCCUCUGCAAUGUGGAGGAACGUGUAAAAUUAUAUAUCCACAAAUGCCCCAUGCUGUGCUAUCAUACAAACAGAUUUCUCAAUGUUUAGAAUAACUGUGAGCUAUGGUCCACCUUUUCUCUGCCAGUAAAGAAACAUUACGAUCUGAAGACAAAAUAUUGCACAUUGGAGAAUGCGCUCUGAAUUGUUAACUUUCAGCCUUGUUUUAAGUUGUUUAUUACUGUUCAACACAAGACAGUGCUGAGGCAUUCACCGCUCUACAUUAUUUCUAAGCACAAGUAGCCAACCAUUGAACUGUAAGUAAACUCAACAAAUGCAUAUCUGUGCAUAUACGUUUAAGAAACUCAAUAAUUCACGAGGAAAAGACAAAGGAAUCACUUCUUAGGUUUCAUAUAGACCACGAUACCUUCACUGUACCACGGAAUUAUUGUAGUAUACAUUUCUCAUACGCAAGCAUACGCAAGCUUGGGCGGGAAUAUAUAAGCAAGGCCAGAUGAUAGAGGCGGGGAAGCAGGAUUAUAGGGAGGUUAAUUUAAGGAAGAUUAAAAAGACCCCACAUCCAAUAACAGCACAAGAAAAUGACUUAAUCAGAACGUAAUUUCUUAAUCAGAACUAAGCAGCUUGUGGGAUACUCUCAACACAACGAGAUUAAAAAAUCAUCCUAAAUAUUACAAGGACACAGUUGUUAAGAACAUGUGAAUCAUACUCGGCCAUUCAUCAUAUUGCAAUUCAAUGCGCGCAAGAAUUUCGACCAUUGUACAAAAAAUGUCCCAAGUGCGGGAAAUAUGCAAAUCAUGCGCAAACGAUGUACGCACGUGGUUUGAGGAACAUCAGGCAAUUGUCGAGUUGCUAAGUGGCAACUGUAAUGCUUGAUUGUUGACCAGAAAAUGCAUUCCAAAAGUGAUUGAUAGGGUUAAGUGUAUAAGACCAAGAUAAUACAGCUGACAAUGUAAAGAUUUCCGACAUCUUGAAAGGCAGCAUUGAUACGUCAUGAUAAGUUCGUUGAUGAUCCAUGUUUGUUCAAUUUUUAUAAUUCCUCUGUGACAUCUCAAAGCACGUGGCUACAUAGUUGGCUUUAUUUAACACACGGCGAGGCAUGAUCAGUCCAACAGAUCAUUCACACAGUCAACGUGUUAACAAGAGCUCUUCAAGGUUUUGAAAUCAUUCGAAGACACAUCUUUCAAUAAGAGACACAUCGUUUAAUACGGGACAUAUCUUUCAAUUGCGAAUCAAUUUUCAAGUUUAAAUUGUAAGUACAGAAUAUAUUAUAUUUAUUUUGGUUCAUGAAAUGUAGACUACUCGAUAUCGUCACGACAGGGAAAGCUAUACUAUCAUAGAUACUAUAUAUACAGCCUCAGCAGCCGUGUUGUAUGAGAUAUACAAAUUCAUACCAAGAGAGUGAGAAAAAAGAUUACGCGAAUCAGAAGAAUGUUGUUUUUGUGGACCUCAUUAAUUAAACAUAGAUUUCUUUUGAAUUUUCUUCAUGAAUUAUCAAUGUUUUUACAAUAUUUUUCUAUGCAUGUGCUUUAGUUCACGAAAUCGCAGAGAAUGUUCUAAAGCAAAAAAAAACUUAUAUACUAUAGUCUGUUUCAUCCUAACUGGUCAGGGUGAAACCAUUGCUAGGGACUAUUUGAAAACAAGCCAACGCUAUUUAGUUAUGCAUAUGGCGCGUGGUUUUCCUCUAAAGUACAAGUUCAUAACAGAAUAUACUUUGAAAGACCUUUACAGUACAAAGUCUGUGGCUAAUUUUGCAGUAGUUUACAAUAAGAGUCUCCUUGACAUGUCGACUGCAAGGCAAUGAUACGAUGAUUAUUUCGGGGGAAAAUCAAAAUUAAACAAAAUUGAAAACAAUUAUUUCAUGAAAAGUGUAACAAGAAGCCAGACAGCGUGUCAUUUAAAUAUUCUCGAAGCAUAGAAUUAAAACAUAGUUGCUAUCGUUGCGUGUGGCACGUUUAAUAAAAUCCGCAAUAAAACUAAGCAGAUCAAGCUCCUAUCAAAGUAAUACUUAUAGAUUUUAAGCCUCUUUAAUUUCAUUUAACAUGUCACUACGUGUGCUUUCUACCAAUCACAAUGCGGCAUUAAUUACGCAUUGACACUACAUGACUGUAGCGGUUAACUGUAGACUUCGCAACUGGCUCGCCAUGAUAUGAAUUGAAAAUAAAGAUUUUAUCAGUAAAGUGUUUAUAAUCCUUGCCACAUAGAUCUUUGCGGUUUGUUGAUCGAUAAACACCUCGGGGUUUUUUUUUUCCACAACUGUAUAAGAUACAAAAUAUGCAUAUAGUGCAAAACUUAUUUCUAAUUUGUAACGGUAUAAUAUAUUUUACAAUCACAUUGCAAAUCUGCCCACGCUCGGGAAGAUGACAUUCACAAAUAUUUUUACCGUUUUUUUGCGGUUGAAUCCAAUUAAUAAAUAGAGCAAAACCCUCGCGCACGUCUUAAUACGUUUUAGGUUGAAAAUUUAAUAACUUGCGGUUUUGCUACAAAAUAAAUACGUGCUGCUGUAUGAUCACAACAUGCUGAGAAAAUUGUUGGGCAAUUUUCAAAAUAAAAGUUUAUUAAAGUGUUAUAAGGUAUACAGUUAUAGCGAAGUAUUUGAGCCUUGAGCAUACUGAGCGAUAUUAAAUGGCAUUUUAUUGCACGAAAUCAAUCUUACUUAUAAACGACUCAGCACGAGAACAGUAGGGUAGUUAGCUAAACUGGCUGUUGAUUGGUUCCCUCUGUUAUUUAAUUAGAAUCGUGAGUUGUGAAACAACGGCUAAUUUGAUGAAAAGCGUGUAUUUAAUAUAAACAACGUAAUGAAGCUCCGAGUAGGAUGUCUUUGUGUGAAAACUAUUCGAGGCUCUUAUCAUAAUGUCUUAAAUGAAAGAAUGUGUUAGACUGACGUUUAUAUACGCUUUAUUUCUAGAAAGUGAAAGGAGUCUUUCACAGAAAACAAGAGAAUAUCGAGAUAUAUUGACUGGAGACAAGAAAAACUUCUUCAUGGCUAAAGUUAUACUCAUAUUGACAAUGUUAUUGCUAUCUCUUAUGCUGUGCUUCCAUAUAGCAGAGAGUUUCGCGCCUUUUCCAGGAAAGUGUGGAGGUUGGGGCUGUCGAAGUGCAAAGAGGACACAUGUACACAGUAUUGUUGGAUCACACAGUAUCUGUGGAAGCAAUGCUCAAUGCUUGAGGACGAUGAAGAAACUCAUUACAUCAAGCAAGUAUCGGCAGUUGAAGAGGUACACUCGAAAGAGAAAAGUUAUUCGUGGUCGAAGAUACCGAGCUUGAACAAUCAACUCACAUCACGCAACACCUCAAUGGCGAAAUGGGAUGGAAAAACACCAUACUUACUUCCCCAAAAACAUUCUCAACUAAACAAAUAAGACUCAUAUCUCGGAGUAUGAACUUUAACAAAAUCCUCCGACUAAAAAGGAACUAAAAAGCGAGAGGAAAAGCUGUCCCAACGCGUGACACAAUUAUAGUGUGACACUGUGACUGGAACUUGUUGAGAACAUUUCGUGAUAUGAUUAAUGACAUUUUAAAUCCAGCUCAAGGAAGAAAUCUUUUGGGAAACCCGGCAAAGGAACGUGGAAAAUGUAUCAUAUAUAGUUGACUUAAUAUUUCGUCUUUUUCUUCGGAAUGAAAGAUGAAAAGUGCAUGGGAAUUGGAAAGUGUGCAACAGGCUAUAUGUUUUAGCUAUAGACACGAGCUACAGUUCUGUCCACAGUUCAUUAAGUUUCCUAUUGUGCGGCGCGCAUCUGAGAAGGAAAAGCUUCGAGAGUGCAAAAUAUCGAUUUUACAGAUGCCUUGGCAAACCAUCUGUUUACGACGUGAGUUCAAAAAUGUCAACAAUGCCAUCAGAAUGAACUAGUCAGUAUUCUUGUUAUCAUGAAGCAAUUCAAAAUUGUCAUUCUCAAGAACAUUUUAUGUGACUAGAACAAACUGAAAAGUAGCGUAUGGUAAUAAUUAUAGAUAUUGACGUAUUUAAAUUACUCCGAACUUGACCUGUAUAUAACGCAGGGCGACCACCCAACUGAAUUGUAGAUGUAUAUAUAUAUUAUUGUAUUUAAAAUAUUCUUCAUGCAUACGCUGUCAAUA